CCAAGCUUGCUGGGUUCGCUGAACAAAGCCUGUGGAGUGGAUUGCUCAGUCCAACCCGCUCCAACCCGCUCCAUCUCUCUCCUCUCAACUCUUUCGGUAUUUUGAUUUAUAACAACUUAGCUUUGGCAAUCGACAUGGCAAACAAUGCAGGAAACCGAGGAGAUGCAACAAAGAAAAAAUUGAAUUUGUAUAAAGCUGCAUUGAGUGGCGAUUGGGAGAUGGCUGAAUGCAACGGACCAUUAACAGCAACGCUCAAUGAGGAUGGGGAGACUGCUCUCCAUAUAGCAACUGCAGCAAGCCAGACUCAUUUUGUGAAAAUGCUUGUUGGUAAGAUUUCUAGAGAGGAUUUAGCUAUUGAAACUAUACCCCCAGACCCAACAGAAACUCCAAACACAAAUGCAGCUAGAGCUCCACCUCUAGUUGAACCCAUGGCUGCAGCUGCAACUACAAGCCAAAUAGUAGCGGACCCAAACAUGGGCACAGGUCCAGCACCAGUCACAGUUGCAGCUGCAAAAGCAACCGCAACCGCAAUUGCAGCUGCAAAAGCAACCGCAACCGCAAUUGCAGCUGCAAAAGCAACCGCAACCGCAA
RNAcentral lists this unclassified non-coding RNA (591 nucleotides) under Hevea brasiliensis (rubber tree). The record is from RNAcentral. Lineage: Eukaryota; Viridiplantae; Streptophyta; Magnoliopsida; Malpighiales; Euphorbiaceae.